This 2902-nucleotide ribosomal RNA is filed under the name Escherichia coli. RNAcentral describes it as "23S ribosomal RNA". It matches the Rfam family "Bacterial large subunit ribosomal RNA". Lineage: Bacteria; Pseudomonadati; Pseudomonadota; Gammaproteobacteria; Enterobacterales; Enterobacteriaceae. The record is from RNAcentral.
GGUUAAGCGACUAAGCGUACACGGUGGAUGCCCUGGCAGUCAGAGGCGAUGAAGGACGUGCUAAUCUGCGAUAAGCGUCGGUAAGGUGAUAUGAACCGUUAUAACCGGCGAUUUCCGAAUGGGGAAACCCAGUGUGAUUCGUCACACUAUCAUUAACUGAAUCCAUAGGUUAAUGAGGCGAACCGGGGGAACUGAAACAUCUAAGUACCCCGAGGAAAAGAAAUCAACCGAGAUUCCCCCAGUAGCGGCGAGCGAACGGGGAGCAGCCCAGAGCCUGAAUCAGUGUGUGUGUUAGUGGAAGCGUCUGGAAAGGCGCGCGAUACAGGGUGACAGCCCCGUACACAAAAAUGCACAUGCUGUGAGCUCGAUGAGUAGGGCGGGACACGUGGUAUCCUGUCUGAAUAUGGGGGACCAUCCUCCAAGGCUAAAUACUCCUGACUGACCGAUAGUGAACCAGUACCGUGAGGGAAAGGCGAAAAGAACCCCGGCGAGGGGAGUGAAAAAGAACCUGAAACCGUGUACGUACAAGCAGUGGGAGCCUCUUUAUGGGGUGACUGCGUACCUUUUGUAUAAUGGGUCAGCGACUUAUAUUCUGUAGCAAGGUUAACCGAAUAGGGGAGCCGAAGGGAAACCGAGUCUUAACUGGGCGUUAAGUUGCAGGGUAUAGACCCGAAACCCGGUGAUCUAGCCAUGGGCAGGUUGAAGGUUGGGUAACACUAACUGGAGGACCGAACCGACUAAUGUUGAAAAAUUAGCGGAUGACUUGUGGCUGGGGGUGAAAGGCCAAUCAAACCGGGAGAUAGCUGGUUCUCCCCGAAAGCUAUUUAGGUAGCGCCUCGUGAAUUCAUCUCCGGGGGUAGAGCACUGUUUCGGCAAGGGGGUCAUCCCGACUUACCAACCCGAUGCAAACUGCGAAUACCGGAGAAUGUUAUCACGGGAGACACACGGCGGGUGCUAACGUCCGUCGUGAAGAGGGAAACAACCCAGACCGCCAGCUAAGGUCCCAAAGUCAUGGUUAAGUGGGAAACGAUGUGGGAAGGCCCAGACAGCCAGGAUGUUGGCUUAGAAGCAGCCAUCAUUUAAAGAAAGCGUAAUAGCUCACUGGUCGAGUCGGCCUGCGCGGAAGAUGUAACGGGGCUAAACCAUGCACCGAAGCUGCGGCAGCGACACUAUGUGUUGUUGGGUAGGGGAGCGUUCUGUAAGCCUGUGAAGGUGUACUGUGAGGUAUGCUGGAGGUAUCAGAAGUGCGAAUGCUGACAUAAGUAACGAUAAAGCGGGUGAAAAGCCCGCUCGCCGGAAGACCAAGGGUUCCUGUCCAACGUUAAUCGGGGCAGGGUGAGUCGACCCCUAAGGCGAGGCCGAAAGGCGUAGUCGAUGGGAAACAGGUUAAUAUUCCUGUACUUGGUGUUACUGCGAAGGGGGACGGAGAAGGCUAUGUUGGCCGGGCGACGGUUGUCCCGGUUUAAGCGUGUAGGCUGGUUUUCCAGGCAAAUCCGGAAAAUCAAGGCUGAGGCGUGAUGACGAGGCACUACGGUGCUGAAGCAACAAAUGCCCUGCUUCCAGGAAAAGCCUCUAAGCAUCAGGUAACAUCAAAUCGUACCCCAAACCGACACAGGUGGUCAGGUAGAGAAUACCAAGGCGCUUGAGAGAACUCGGGUGAAGGAACUAGGCAAAAUGGUGCCGUAACUUCGGGAGAAGGCACGCUGAUACGUAGGUGAAGCGACUUGCUCGUGGAGCUGAAAUCAGUCGAAGAUACCAGCUGGCUGCAACUGUUUAUUAAAAACACAGCACUGUGCAAACACGAAAGUGGACGUAUACGGUGUGACGCCUGCCCGGUGCCGGAAGGUUAAUUGAUGGGGUUAGCGGUAACGCGAAGCUCUUGAUCGAAGCCCCGGUAAACGGCGGCCGUAACUAUAACGGUCCUAAGGUAGCGAAAUUCCUUGUCGGGUAAGUUCCGACCUGCACGAAUGGCGUAAUGAUGGCCAGGCUGUCUCCACCCGAGACUCAGUGAAAUUGAACUCGCUGUGAAGAUGCAGUGUACCCGCGGCAAGACGGAAAGACCCCGUGAACCUUUACUAUAGCUUGACACUGAACAUUGAGCCUUGAUGUGUAGGAUAGGUGGGAGGCUUUGAAGUGUGGACGCCAGUCUGCAUGGAGCCGACCUUGAAAUACCACCCUUUAAUGUUUGAUGUUCUAACGUUGGCCCCUAAUCGGGGUUGCGGACAGUGUCUGGUGGGUAGUUUGACUGGGGCGGUCUCCUCCUAAAGAGUAACGGAGGAGCACGAAGGUUGGCUAAUCCUGGUCGGACAUCAGGAGGUUAGUGCAAUGGCAUAAGCCAGCUUGACUGCGAGCGUGACGGCGCGAGCAGGUGCGAAAGCAGGUCAUAGUGAUCCGGUGGUUCUGAAUGGAAGGGCCAUCGCUCAACGGAUAAAAGGUACUCCGGGGAUAACAGGCUGAUACCGCCCAAGAGUUCAUAUCGACGGCGGUGUUUGGCACCUCGAUGUCGGCUCAUCACAUCCUGGGGCUGAAGUAGGUCCCAAGGGUAUGGCUGUUCGCCAUUUAAAGUGGUACGCGAGCUGGGUUUAGAACGUCGUGAGACAGUUCGGUCCCUAUCUGCCGUGGGCGCUGGAGAACUGAGGGGGGCUGCUCCUAGUACGAGAGGACCGGAGUGGACGCAUCACUGGUGUUCGGGUUGUCAUGCCAAUGGCACUGCCCGGUAGCUAAAUGCGGAAGAGAUAAGUGCUGAAAGCAUCUAAGCACGAAACUUGCCCCGAGAUGAGUUCUCCCUGACUCCCUGAGAGUCCUGAAGGAACGUUGAAGACGACGACGUUGAUAGGCCGGGUGUGUAAGCGCAGCGAUGCGUUGAGCUAACCGGUACUAAUGAACCGUGAGGCUUAACCUU